This 130-nucleotide non-coding RNA is filed under the name Globisporangium irregulare DAOM BR486. The record is from RNAcentral. Lineage: Eukaryota; Oomycota; Peronosporomycetes; Pythiales; Pythiaceae.
GUGUUCGUUGAGCCGAGAGACGGUUAGCAUCUCCCUCGACAAGGACGGGAUUGCGCCUUCGUGCGUAUCCAACCCUCCGUGGUUUAAGCUCUGUCGGUCCACCAGAUCGACAUCUCAACCAAUUUUUUUA